GUUGUUGUGAAGAUUAAAUGGGUUAAC
Molecule: non-coding RNA, 27 nt
Filed under: Rattus norvegicus (Norway rat)
Lineage: Eukaryota; Metazoa; Chordata; Mammalia; Rodentia; Muridae
Source: RNAcentral